UAGGGAAUCUUCGGCAAUGGACGGAAGUCUGACCGAGCAACGCCGCGUGAGUGAAGAAGGUUUUCGGAUCGUAAAGCUCUGUUGUUAGAGAAGAACGUUGGUAGGAGUGGAAAAUCUACCAAGUGACGGUACCUAACCAGAAAGGGACGGCUAACUACGUGCCAGCAGCCGCGGUAAUACGUAGGUCCCGAGCGUUGUCCGGAUUUAUUGGGCGUAAAGCGAGCGCAGGCGGUUCUUUAAGUCUGAAGUUAAAGGCAGUGGCUUAACCAUUGUACGCUUUGGAAACUGGAGGACUUGAGUGCAGAAGGGGGGAGUGGAAUUCCAUGUGUAGCGGUGAAAUGCGUAGAUAUAUGGAGGAACACCGGUGGCGAAAGCGGCUCUCUGGUCUGUAACUGACGCUGAGGCUCGAAAGCGUGGGGAGCAAACAGG
RNAcentral lists this ribosomal RNA (429 nucleotides) under Bacillota bacterium. RNAcentral describes it as "Firmicutes bacterium partial 16S ribosomal RNA". It matches the Rfam family "Bacterial small subunit ribosomal RNA", at positions 355 to 776 of the family's 1533-position model. The record is from RNAcentral. Lineage: Bacteria; Bacillati; Bacillota.